Molecule: long non-coding RNA, 374 nt
Filed under: Helianthus annuus (common sunflower)
Lineage: Eukaryota; Viridiplantae; Streptophyta; Magnoliopsida; Asterales; Asteraceae
Description: hypothetical non coding rna
Source: RNAcentral
UCAACCAGGAAUGAUAUUGUACGAGUUAUGCGAUUUGUUUGGAAUGUACAUGAUAGAUGAAACAAGUUAUGGACCAAAUCAUGUUGCUCUUGCUGAAAACUUUGACUGAGGAAUGUAUGCUUGCCUAAUUUGGUUGUUUGGAGGAGGGGAGAGUGAGUUUUCUGUUGGUAUAAGGCGAGUCUUGGUUCAACAGGAAUAAGACAGUUUGACUUAUAAGAAGUUAACCCAAAGUAGAAGUUGAAGAAUAUCAUGUUGGGGCAUCAUGAGGCAAAGGUAAAGUAUUAAUAUUAAAGCUCCAACAUAAUGAUGAUGCUGCUGCUCAAGUCUAUGGUCGAACUACAUAACCUGUGGAAAAGCAUAUGAAUAACUCUGUA